This 72-nucleotide transfer RNA is filed under the name Ostreobium quekettii. RNAcentral describes it as "tRNA-Thr". It matches the Rfam family "tRNA". Rfam says of the family: Transfer RNA (tRNA) molecules are approximately 80 nucleotides in length. Their secondary structure includes four short double-helical elements and three loops (D, anti-codon, and T loops). Lineage: Eukaryota; Viridiplantae; Chlorophyta; Ulvophyceae; Bryopsidales; Ostreobiaceae. The record is from RNAcentral.
GCCUUUUUAGCUCAGUGGUAGAGUUUUUGCAUGGUAAGCAAAAAGUUACCGGUUCAAUUCCGGUAAAAGGCU